ACGUAAGUGGAAAACGAGGUGGGAAGGCAUAGACAGUCGAGGAGGUUGGCUUAGAAGCAGCCAUCCUUUAAAGAAAGCGUAAUAGCUCACUGAUCGAGUCGUCCUGCGCGGAAGAUGUAACGGGGCUCAAGCCAAUAACCGAAGCUGCGGAUAUCCGUAAGGAUAUGGUAGGGGAGCGUUCCGUAGGCCGUUGAAGGUGUGUCGAAAGGCAUGCUGGAGGUAUCGGAAGUGCGAAUGCUGACAUGAGUAGCGAUAAAGCGUGUGAAAAGCACGCUCGCCGAAAGCCCAAGGUUUCCUGCGCAACGUUCAUCGGCGCAGGGUGAGUCGGCCCCUAAGGCGAGGCCGAAAGGCGUAGUCGAUGGGAAACGGGUCAAUAUUCCCGUACCGAUCACAGAUGCGAUGGGGGGACGGAGAAGGUUAGCUCGGCCGGGUGUUGGACGUCCCGGUUUAAGCGUGUAGGCGUGCUGCAUAGGCAAAUCCGUGCGGCUUAGCUGAGGCGUGAUGACGAGGGCUCAUUGAGCC
RNAcentral lists this ribosomal RNA (522 nucleotides) under uncultured bacterium. RNAcentral's name for it is "bacterial LSU rRNA". It matches the Rfam family "Bacterial large subunit ribosomal RNA", at positions 1058 to 1585 of the family's 2925-position model. The record is from RNAcentral.